UACAGAGGGUGCGAGCGUUAAUCGGAAUUACUGGGCGUAAAGCGUGCGUAGACGGUUAUUUAAGUCGGGUGUGAAAGCCCCGGGCUCAACCUGGGAAUUGCAUUCGAGACUGAAUAGCUAGGGUACGGUAGAGGGAAGUGGAAUUUCCGGUGUAGCGGUGAAAUGCGUAGAUAUCGGGAGGAACAUCUGUGGCGAAGGCGGCCAUCUGGACCAGCACUGACACUGAGGCACGAAAGCGUGGGGAGCAAACAGG
Molecule: ribosomal RNA, 253 nt
Filed under: uncultured bacterium
Lineage: Bacteria
Description: partial 16S ribosomal RNA
Rfam family: Bacterial small subunit ribosomal RNA
Source: RNAcentral